This 816-nucleotide long non-coding RNA is filed under the name Meleagris gallopavo (turkey). RNAcentral's name for it is "lncRNA (ENSMGAG00000019245.1)". Lineage: Eukaryota; Metazoa; Chordata; Aves; Galliformes; Phasianidae. The record is from RNAcentral.
AUUAGGCUUAAGGUGUAGAGCAAUUAAUUGACGUUGCAUUAAUUUUGAGUAAUUUUAAGAAGUUAUCUGUGUUAACACCUUCAUGAAAAUUUGUAGCGCUGAUAAGAAAGUGUUUGCUCUUCAUGAAUGACCUUUAUCAUGGUUAAGGGGAUCCCUGUUUGUUAGUCUCUGUGUACCAAAUGAGUCUAGACUCCUUGAUGUGUGAAAUGAGUAGCUACCAUUGUGAACUGUUUUAUCAUAUUUUCUAGUUACUCUAAUCUUCUCUCUUUGAAUGGAAUUGCAACAUUUUGCAUCGCAGCAAAGACAAACAUCUAGCUGUCCAGAAGGUGGAUCAGAAACAGAAUUGGAGCUAUUUUAUCUGGACCUAAUUAAACAACCUUCAUUACUGGCAGUGCUUUGUCCCAUACACAGAAUGUGCCUGGAGCUGUUGGCACUAUGGAGGGUGGAGAAAGAAAUAUUUCUCAUUGGCUCCAUGCAGAUGAAGAAACAUAAUCCCAAAUGGUACGCUCAGAUUUUUUCAAUAAAUGUUUUUCGUCACUACAGAGCUUUAUAUAACAGCAGUAAAGGCAAGAAAGGAAAUUAGAAACACAGCUGAGACUGCGUCUCAUACUUCAUAAUAACCCAGAAUUCUUACUGUUUAUUAAAACUAACACCCCUUUUCUGCGUAUUGAUGAAAAAUUCUUCACAGUCUCUUUUCUUUGAUCUUUUCAUUUUACAAACCGCAGAUAUUUGUUGUCGUUUUUUUGUUUAGUUUUAUGUCCAUAAUGUAGAAACUCAAAACUACCAUCCAAUAGUGUUGCAUGAUAAGAAGUAAUC